UGGAGGAUGGAUGGAUGGAUGGGCCAGGGGAGGGGCUUCUCCAAGUUGUGGCAGAGUCCAAGGAGCAAAGAAGUUCAGAACCAAUUACACUCCUCCUCCGCCAUGGGAGCAGAGGCCUAAGCAGAAAGGGAGCUCAGCCCCAGGGCUCUCUAACACCCACCAGGGCCUUCCAAAGCAGCUAUUAAAGAUGGGAGAUCCAAGCCCUGAUUUCUUCCUGAGCUUGGAAGCAAGGGCUUCAGGACCCCCCUGAGGCGGAGUCGGCCUGGGGAAUCUCUCGCUGGAGCAGAGCAGUAGUUAUCAGGGAUGCUUCAGACGGCGCUGGACUGCAGGCAGGGAGACGUAAAACUCAGCUCUUCGUGACCUUUUCUGGGAGCAGAAAGCAGCUGGAGAACUAAGUGCUGUUAGUGUCCAGGGAGGUUUCCCACCCAGUUGCCCGAUGUUCCCCACUCCACCCCGCAAAGGAGAGGCUUGGGAGGGUAAAAGAUCACGGAGCUCAAGGUUACGCAGCCCAGACCCCUCAUUUAACUGAGAUCACACCGCUAGCCUGUGGUAGAGCUGGGCUUCUGCACACCCAACCGCAGUCAGAUUCUCCCCUUUCUGAUGACGAGAAGGAAGCGUCGGGGCUGGGACAGCAGGAUCCCCAGACGAUGUGAUACCCUUUUCAUCUGAAGUCCGGCGGUUCCCUCGAUUUGACCACAGUCUGCGACCUUUCUGUGGAAAGACCUUCGAGGGUGAAAGAGAAAUAUUCGCACCCUGUGGGAAAUGGAGAAGGGGCCCUAACCCUUCUGUGGUGCAGAGACCCCAGGAAGCUCCGCCCAGCCCGGGGAGCUGGGACUGAGCUGGGGAGGAAGGAGCUCAUACUGAGAGACAGAGGAAGUCCAAGAGCACAGAGAGGAGCACCCCGGCUCGGGCACAGUUCAGCUGUGCGCGAAGAGAGGAACAGAGUAAGGGAACCCUCCGGCCCCUUUGUAUCUCACCACCACUGAUCAUAUUGGUGAGUAUCCCGGCUGGGGCACGGUAACCGGGGGGGGGGGGGGGGGGAAGGAAGGGGAACUCCUCAAGGG
Molecule: long non-coding RNA, 1064 nt
Filed under: Phascolarctos cinereus (koala)
Lineage: Eukaryota; Metazoa; Chordata; Mammalia; Diprotodontia; Phascolarctidae
Description: lncRNA (ENSPCIG00000031002.1)
Source: RNAcentral